Molecule: ribosomal RNA, 562 nt
Filed under: Hanseniaspora uvarum
Lineage: Eukaryota; Fungi; Ascomycota; Saccharomycetes; Saccharomycodales; Saccharomycodaceae
Description: eukaryotic LSU rRNA
Rfam family: Eukaryotic large subunit ribosomal RNA
Source: RNAcentral
CUUAGUACGGCGAGUGAGCGGUAAAAGCUCAAAUUUGAAAUCUGGUACUUUCAGUGCCCGAGUUGUAAUUUGUAGAAUUUGUCUUUGAUUAGGUCCUUGUCUAUGUUCCUUGGAACAGGACGUCAUAGAGGGUGAGAAUCCCGUUUGGCGAGGAUACCUUUUCUCUGUAAGACUUUUUCGAAGAGUCGAGUUGUUUGGGAAUGCAGCUCAAAGUGGGUGGUAAAUUCCAUCUAAAGCUAAAUAUUGGCGAGAGACCGAUAGCGAACAAGUACAGUGAUGGAAAGAUGAAAAGAACUUUGAAAAGAGAGUGAAAAAGUACGUGAAAUUGUUGAAAGGGAAGGGCAUUUGAUCAGACAUGGUGUUUUUUGCAUGCACUCGCCUCUCGUGGGCUUGGGCCUCUCAAAAAUUUCACUGGGCCAACAUCAAUUCUGGCAGCAGGAUAAAUCAUUAAGAAUGUAGCUACUUCGGUAGUGUUAUAGCUUUUUGGAAUACUGUUAGCCGGGAUUGAGGACUGCGCUUCGGCAAGGAUGUUGGCAUAAUGGUUAAAUGCCGCCCGUCUUGA